This 262-nucleotide long non-coding RNA is filed under the name Mytilus galloprovincialis (Mediterranean mussel). Lineage: Eukaryota; Metazoa; Mollusca; Bivalvia; Mytilida; Mytilidae. The record is from RNAcentral.
CCCUUUUGUUUUCCAUUUAAUUAAUAUUGCCAAUAAUUAACAAGUUCCGGGUCGAAUUCGAUACCGAUACCAAUAGUAUAUUCACCUGUUACCUAUUACCUUAUCUGUACGUUCCGCAGCUGACAGGCGCACCACCAAACGGUGUAUUUAGGAUUUUGCUAUAUACACGGGUCAUAAUCACAGGGUUGACACUACUAAAUUCAAUCAUUGUCAAAUUGUUCCCUAUUGUAGUAUUUUAAUCAGUAAGACUUUUUAAGAUGAC